This 71-nucleotide transfer RNA is filed under the name Schistosoma mansoni. Lineage: Eukaryota; Metazoa; Platyhelminthes; Trematoda; Strigeidida; Schistosomatidae. The record is from RNAcentral.
CUCAGUAGCUAAGUGUAUAACGCGUUGGCGUUUGAAGCGAACGGUACUGGGUUCGAGUCCCAGAGUGGGCA